GUGGGGAAUAUUGGGCAAUGGGGGAAACCCUGACCCAGCAACGCCGCGUGAGGGAAGAAGGUUUUCGGAUUGUAAACCUCUGUCCUAAAGGACGAAAAAAAUGACGGUACUUUAGGAGGAAGCCCCGGCUAACUACGUGCCAGCAGCCGCGGUAAUACGUAGGGGGCGAGCGUUGUCCGGAAUUAUUGGGCGUAAAGGGUGCGUAGGCGGCCAAAUAAGUCAGAUGUGAAAUACCGGGGCUUAACUCCGGGGCUGCAUUUGAAACUAUAUGGCUGGAGUGCAGGAGAGGGAAGCGGAAUUCCUAGUGUAGCGGUGAAAUGCACAGAUAUUAGGAGGAACACCAGUGGCGAAGGCGGCUUUCUGGACUGUAACUGACGCUGAGGCACGAAAGCGUGGGGAGCAAACAGGAUUAGAAACCCGAGUAGUCC
This 428-nucleotide ribosomal RNA is filed under the name uncultured bacterium. Its description in RNAcentral is "partial 16S ribosomal RNA". It matches the Rfam family "Bacterial small subunit ribosomal RNA", at positions 354 to 796 of the family's 1533-position model. The record is from RNAcentral.